Molecule: long non-coding RNA, 380 nt
Organism: Brassica oleracea var. oleracea
Lineage: Eukaryota; Viridiplantae; Streptophyta; Magnoliopsida; Brassicales; Brassicaceae
Exons: 3
Source: RefSeq, a predicted model, not a curated record
UCUGAAACGCUCUGAUGCAGUUUUAUGUUUUAUUUUCUAUCAAUUUUUUUAGAAUAAUUCUUCUCUUCUUCUCUAAUACAUAAUCAUUUCUCUCUUUCUGCAGAACUUAGGUUGAAGAUCAUGACAUUGGAGUCUACUCCUAUUUCACAGCUCAAUUCAUCUAAAAAGAAUGGAAAAUCAGAGUGCGAUCUCUCGGAUUUGGGACUACUAUCCCAAACAUGAACUUGAAGUUGUUGUCGCGAUGAAAACUAUCCUUGUGGACGAAAAGAUGUCAAUUGAAUUUCCUCAGUUUCUAUUCUUCAAAAAAACGUCUAGAAGUCAAAGCAUUGUCAACAACAAUUGAGUGGCUUAUUCUUAGGAAGACAAAAUAGGCAACGAAC